This 74-nucleotide transfer RNA is filed under the name Acidobacteriota bacterium. RNAcentral describes it as "Acidobacteria bacterium tRNA-Ile". It matches the Rfam family "tRNA". Rfam says of the family: Transfer RNA (tRNA) molecules are approximately 80 nucleotides in length. Lineage: Bacteria; Pseudomonadati; Acidobacteriota. RNAcentral also lists the same sequence under 5 other names. The record is from RNAcentral.
GGGCGCGUAGCUCAGCUGGUUAGAGCAGGGGACUCAUAAUCCCUGGGUCGCAGGUUCGAGUCCUGCCGCGCCCA